Long non-coding RNA from Anguilla anguilla (European eel), 1053 nucleotides. RefSeq lists it as uncharacterized. NCBI's taxonomy places the organism in Eukaryota, Metazoa, Chordata, Actinopteri, Anguilliformes, Anguillidae. The record is from RefSeq and is a predicted model, not a curated record. The transcript has 5 exons.
AAAGUCGCUCCCAGCUUUCUCCUGCCCGUGCGUGUAACAGGCAGAGAAAGAGAGGAUGUCAUCACGCACUGACGCGUCGGGGCAUCCGCCCUGGUGACGAGCUGCUCCGGGAGGAGGAGCUUCUCACCGGCUCCUGGCUUAACCUGCCUGAACCGGCCGACCCGGAGCCUGACCCCCACGCCGCGCUUCCAGGGGGGGUCAGCCAGCGCAUCCUGUCCGGAACAGCCAGGAGGAGGAGGAGGAGGAGAAACUAGACGCACUGACUUCCUUAUGAUGGUGCCUGUCUUCCUGUCUCUGCCCCUCCCUCCCUGGGUGACACCAUGGCUGGCUAUGCACUGCCCUGCCAGGUUGCCAGGCACAGUCAGAACCCCCGACUGAGGGGAGCAUCACUACACUGAAGCCCAGUGCUUCAGAAGAACUGUCCAACCCAUGCAUGUUUUAUUACACACAUAGCGUAAUCCAAUUCAAACGGAAUGCCGUCACACCUGUCUACGCGCGAGUCGCACGGCAGACUGGGAGAAGGGAGAAGAAACGAGGAAAUAUGCCUGGAAGCAGAUGUAGCGCCUUUCUUCUUCCAGCCCGAACUCCUCGCCCCCCGCUCCUUCCGCGUUCUUUCGCCGUCUCCCUGGUGCUGCUUCCAAGACCGCAGCCCCGAAAGAUUUGGGAGUCAUCAUGCUCAUCAGAGGAGAAAAAAAAAAAAAGGGCCAAGACCUCUGCUUUGCUCUCGAAUUUCCUGAAGUCAGAAGGUUGACCCUUUCAUCCCGGGGGCGGUCCUCUGGCCUUCCAGGGACGACCGCACGUUGAUUAGAACGCGCCGCGUUUGUCUCUAUUCCGCCGGGGCAAGCUGCUGAAGUUUAGGUGCGCGGUGGACGGCCAUCUCGCGGGUCGCUGUGCCGCGUACGAACGCCAGGAAAGGCGCUUUAAAGUCCGACGCAGAUGUUGAUCGCCCCGGGUUGAUCGCUGCCGUUCUUUUGCUUCUUCCUCUUUUUAUCCUGUCUCCUUUCUUUUCUUCCCAUUUUUAACCUGUCUCCUUUCUUUUCUUCCCCUUUUUAA